GCAUGACUGAAAGAGGGGAGGGGAGAGACAGAUGAGCAAGCAGAAAGGGGUCGCCCUGCCCAGCCAUGCCUGAUGCCUGCCAGGCAACACCAUGGCAGAGCAGUGGCUCUCAGCCUAUUGCUGAGCACUGGGACAGGGCACAUAACAGGAAAGGAAGAUCUGCCUUCUUCUGGGGCUCUGGCUACACAGGAGGAAGCUGCUGUCCAGGACCCCUCAGCCAAGAGGGCAGAGGCUCUGCUGGCUCUGUUUCCAUUCCCAUGCUGAUGAACCAAAGAGAGGUGAAAGCACAGCUUCAGGAAAGCCUCAGACUUGACCUUCCUUUUGAAGAGUCCCCUCUGACAUGGUCUGGGGGAGCCAUGGAUAUGUGAGCAGCCUGACCCAGAUAGACGUUUCCAGGCACCACCAGGAACCUGCCCUGCCCUGCUGCGGGAGCUCCUUCCACCCACAGCUUCUCCCCGCAGUGUCCUGGGCAGCUGCCCAGGCAGGCUGAGUGCUGAGCCUGGCAGGCAGCAGAGGCCCUGUCCCAGCACACAGCCCCUGAGGCACAGCAGGGACCCUGCUCUGCACCACAGCGCUGAGAACCCCUGCCUGAACCCUGCCUGCACAGCCAGCAUCUGACCCCUGAAGGAGGAACCCUCAUGUCCUGUCCCUCUGACAGCUUUGGCAGGUAGUCCCUGCUCUGCACCAUGUCAUUCUCCUCUUAUCCAAAGAAACUCUGAGUCCCCCUGACAGCUCCCAUAGGCUGUGGGAUUUGCCAGAAAAUCUGGAGAUGGCACCAGGAACAACAGUGGUGUUGCCCUGCAGCCAGAGACUUACCCUGUUCAGGCCUAUGAAGAUUUUGUUUCCACAGUGAGCUCUCAGCAUCCCCCCUCCACUCUGCCUUUAACAUCUCCCUCCCUUCUCUCAGUGGCCCUUGUCCCCUGCAGGCAGUGCCCCCAGCCCUGCUGCGCUGUGCAGAGGAGCUGCUCCUGGGCAGAGCUGUCUCUCUGCAGCGCUGCCCGCUUGCCAGGAGCUCCCCUUGGGCCCAGGAGCCCAG
This 1036-nucleotide long non-coding RNA is filed under the name Anas platyrhynchos platyrhynchos (common mallard). Its description in RNAcentral is "lncRNA (ENSAPLG00000021212.1)". Lineage: Eukaryota; Metazoa; Chordata; Aves; Anseriformes; Anatidae. The record is from RNAcentral.